CAGUCGCCGCGGUAAUACGAAGGGUGCAAGCGUUACUCGGAAUUACUGGGCGUAAAGCGUGUGUAGGUGGUUGUUUAAGUCUGUCGUGAAAGCCCUGGGCUCAACCUGGGAAUUGCGAUGGAUACUGGGCGACUAGAGUGCGGUAGAGGAUAGUGGAAUUUCCGGUGUAGCAGUGAAAUGCGUAGAGAUCGGAAGGAACGUCUGUGGCGAAGGCGACUAUCUGGGCCAACACUGACACUGAGACACGAAAGCGUGGGGAGCAAACAGGAUUAGAUACCCGCGUAGUCCCUGUCUCUUAUAC
RNAcentral lists this ribosomal RNA (301 nucleotides) under uncultured bacterium. RNAcentral's name for it is "partial 16S ribosomal RNA". It matches the Rfam family "Bacterial small subunit ribosomal RNA", at positions 509 to 807 of the family's 1533-position model. The record is from RNAcentral.